Molecule: non-coding RNA, 64 nt
Organism: Cavia porcellus (domestic guinea pig)
Lineage: Eukaryota; Metazoa; Chordata; Mammalia; Rodentia; Caviidae
Source: Rfam
GGGGAUUUAGCUCACUGGCAUAAGCACCUGCCUUGAAAGCAGACAGUCGUAAGUUCAAUCCCUG